RNAcentral lists this long non-coding RNA (204 nucleotides) under Capsella rubella. RNAcentral's name for it is "long non-coding RNA (CRUB_LNC004113)". Lineage: Eukaryota; Viridiplantae; Streptophyta; Magnoliopsida; Brassicales; Brassicaceae. The record is from RNAcentral.
ACCCCUGUUCCAGCAUGAAAGCUUCACAUUAAAGUUCCAAGAACUCAUAAAUAAACCUAAAACAUCAUUAUAAAAAAAUGCAAUGAAGCUUAUCGAGUACAUAGUUCUUGAGAGAUUAUUUGUUAUAAAAAAAUGUAAGACAAAAAUGCAUUAAAAAAAAAAAACAAAUGAUACAAAUCUGAGUUUAGUUCGGUUCAAAAUCCC